UCCGGCAGGAGCUCCGCGGCCGGGAGAAGAAGUUGGAGAAGGAACUCCCGAGGUCGCGGGGAGUCCCGUCGGCAAAUACACCGCCCAGAUCAUCUUCAAACUUGGAUAAUGUCUACCACCUUAGUGGUGACACAUCAUCUGAGAAAAAAUACAGAGACAGCAGAACGUUUCCUCUUUUGUGGAUCUAACUUGUCAGAGAUUAUUGAAGAAACAGAAUAUAUUAAAAAGAUCCGUUCCACGCUAGCAAAAGUUCAGCCUCUGUUGUAUAAAAAGGAACUCAACCAUAGAAUUGCAAAUGGCAUCCUGGAUUCA
This is a non-coding RNA of Thamnophis sirtalis, 312 nucleotides long. Lineage: Eukaryota; Metazoa; Chordata; Lepidosauria; Squamata; Natricidae. The record is from RefSeq and is a predicted model, not a curated record.